This 329-nucleotide ribosomal RNA is filed under the name uncultured eukaryote. RNAcentral describes it as "partial 18S ribosomal RNA". It matches the Rfam family "Eukaryotic small subunit ribosomal RNA", at positions 1470 to 1796 of the family's 1831-position model. The record is from RNAcentral.
CCCUUAGAUGUUCUGGGCCGCACACGCGCUACACUGACAGAGCCAACGAGUUCAUUUCCUUGGCCGGAAGGUCUGGGUAAUCUUGUUAAACUCUGUCGUGCUGGGGAUAGAGCAUUGCAAUUAUUGCUCUUCAACGAGGAAUGCCUAGUAAGCGCGUGUCAUCAGCACGCGUUGAUUACGUCCCUGCCCUUUGUACACACCGCCCGUCGCUACUACCGAUUGAAUGGCUCAGUGAGGCCUUCGGACUGGCUUAGGGAGGUUGGCAACGACCACCCUGAGCCGGGAAGUUCGUCAAACUCGGCCAUUUAGAGGAAGUAAAAGUCGUAACA